GGUGGUUCUCAGGUGAUGCACUCUGGAAUUGGGCUUCCUCCUCUCUGGUUCCAGGUGCCUCACCCUAGAACCGCA
This is a non-coding RNA of Myotis lucifugus (little brown bat), 75 nucleotides long. The record is from Rfam. NCBI's taxonomy places the organism in Eukaryota, Metazoa, Chordata, Mammalia, Chiroptera, Vespertilionidae.